UUACUUGCUUUUCACAAUCACACACACAUAUUCACUCAUACACAUACGUAUAAAACUACACGUGUACAUGUGGCUUAAGGCUUGUAUCAUGGCUUGCGUUUACAAGUGUUUCGAGACACGAUAGUCCAUAGUCACUAAUCCACUACAGUGACUACUGUUUUCCCGAAAAUUAUACGCGUAAUUGAAUUGUUGAUAUUGAACUGACUUUUAGUGGUGUAGAAUAGUCUUUUUUUCUUUCCUUAGGUAUAUUUAUAUGCAAAUUCUUAU
RNAcentral lists this long non-coding RNA (267 nucleotides) under Brassica napus (rape). RNAcentral's name for it is "long non-coding RNA (BNAP_LNC021006)". Lineage: Eukaryota; Viridiplantae; Streptophyta; Magnoliopsida; Brassicales; Brassicaceae. The record is from RNAcentral.